Molecule: ribosomal RNA, 497 nt
Filed under: uncultured bacterium
Lineage: Bacteria
Description: partial 16S ribosomal RNA
Rfam family: Bacterial small subunit ribosomal RNA
Source: RNAcentral
GAUGAACGCUGGCGGCGUGCCUAAUACAUGCAAGUCGAGCGAACAGACGAGGAGCUUGCUCCUCUGACGUUAGCGGCGGACGGGUGAGUAACACGUGGAUAACCUACCUAUAAGACUGGGAUAACUUCGGGAAACCGGAGCUAAUACCGGAUAAUAUAUUGAACCGCAUGGUUCAAUAGAGAAAGACGGUUUUGCUGUCACUUAUAGAUGGAUCCGCGCCGCAUUAGCUAGUUGGUAAGGUAACGGCUUACCAAGGCAACGAUGCGUAGCCGACCUGAGAGGGUGAUCGGCCACACUGGAACUGAGACACGGUCCAGACUCCUACGGGAGGCAGCAGUAGGGAAUCUUCCGCAAUGGGCGAAAGCUUGACGGAGCAACGCCGCGUGAGAGAUGAAGGUCUUCGGAUCGUAAAACUCUGUUAUUAGGGAAGAACAAAUGUGUAAGUAACUAUGCACGUCUUGACGGUACCUAAUCAGAAAGCCACGGCUAACUACGUG